CCUGCGCGCGACCCGCGACCCGCGGCCCCGCGACGGGCACGCGCCCGGCAGCCUCCGCUGAGACUGUGGAGACGCGGCGGGCGGACCCCCGCUGGCCUCCGCGUGCUGUGAGGUCUCCCCGUGAACUAUUAUGUCUCCCGGCAGAGGUCACCCACGCUGAACCGAGGCGGCCAGUCCAGGACCUGAUGGCGAGCUCGGGUCCCGCCGAGCCCUGUGUGGUAACCAAGCAGCGGAGGCCCGCGAGGUUCUAGAAGUCGUCAAAGAACUCUGCUGCAUAAAAGCCUAGGUCCCUGGCUCCGAUAUGCUGACAGCAUUCGGUGUUGGGACAGGAGGUGACUUCCGGGAGACGUUCCACUGAUCUCUAUUUGGGCACACGGAUGUCUGGAGGGACUGAAGCGCACAGAGGACCUGUCACUCUUAAUGAAGUACCUGUCCAGGAUUUAAAGAGAAUCCUCUCACUUUAUGGCCUGUUAUGCUGUCAUUUGGUGACUUGCCGUGAACUUACAGAGAUCUACCUCCCAAGUACCAAGAUUAAAAGCAUGUACCACCGCU
Peromyscus eremicus (cactus mouse) is the source of this 552-nucleotide long non-coding RNA. RefSeq lists it as uncharacterized. The record is from RefSeq and is a predicted model, not a curated record. Lineage: Eukaryota; Metazoa; Chordata; Mammalia; Rodentia; Cricetidae. The transcript is spliced from 2 exons.